CUAACAUCUGAGAAAAAUUGUCUUUGUCUGUAUAACAGCUGAGCCUUCUGCCAAAAUCCAGAAAUACCAUAAACUAUCUUGCACCCCCACGCAGAAGUCUCCAGCUCAUAUGCUGCAAAUCCACAGCUUGGGCUGUGGCUCCCUGUAAUGUCAGCUGAUGAGUGAGAAAGGGUCAAGAUGUACAUCCUGAGCAAAUGUGUCUUUUGUCCUGGUCUCUUCAUGGAAAAUGCAGGCAAAAGGCUGCUGCCACUGCGCUGUGAGCUGAAGGGCUGGCAGAAGACUAUCCAUCCCACCUCUCCCCAUGCAUCCUCAGGCCAGCCAUGGCCUGCAGGCCCAUGGCCUCUGAUCCGCCUGAUCUGCAGAGUCCCUUUUCUGGGAGAAUCAAGGAAGGAAAGGGUGGUGAUGUUAGAAGGACGUUCCUGUGAUGAUACCUGCCUACAUUUAAGAAUUCCUACAUUCCUAUUGCUAUUUAGCUACAGUAUGCACUGCAGUGCACGAUCCUGAUGCCUGCUGUAUGAUGUACUGUUUAUUGCAAGCCACAGGUAAGUCAGUUAGCUAAAACAAUAUAUCACCCCUCCAUUUAAAUGGAAUUUGAAGCCAAUAUUUGAGAAGGUGCAUGGCAUAUAAUUUCCCUAUCUUUCAAAAACCUAUGUUUUCUCAGUCAUUCCUGAUAUUACUCUGGAAGCCCUAACAAAGCUGUUCCUUCAUUGAGAUGCCUUCAUCCUCUUCCCCUUUUUGUGUAUGGGUACUUUGUUUUGUUUUUCCCCUGUGUAAUCAAUGAGCUAGGACUGUUACUGAUUCUGACAUUGAUAUUGACCUAGAAAAGUAUUCGCACAAAGCUCUGUCCGGAAAUAAAACACUUCUAUAUUGAAAAGAUAAUGUGGAU
RNAcentral lists this long non-coding RNA (886 nucleotides) under Phasianus colchicus (ring-necked pheasant). RNAcentral describes it as "lncRNA (ENSPCLG00000009420.1)". The record is from RNAcentral. Lineage: Eukaryota; Metazoa; Chordata; Aves; Galliformes; Phasianidae.